This 1693-nucleotide ribosomal RNA is filed under the name Escherichia coli. Its description in RNAcentral is "partial 23S ribosomal RNA". It matches the Rfam family "Bacterial large subunit ribosomal RNA", at positions 1252 to 2925 of the family's 2925-position model. The record is from RNAcentral. Lineage: Bacteria; Pseudomonadati; Pseudomonadota; Gammaproteobacteria; Enterobacterales; Enterobacteriaceae.
GAAGGUGUACUGUGAGGUAUGCUGGAGGUAUCAGAAGUGCGAAUGCUGACAUAAGUAACGAUAAAGCGGGUGAAAAGCCCGCUCGCCGGAAGACCAAGGGUUCCUGUCCAACGUUAAUCGGGGCAGGGUGAGUCGACCCCUAAGGCGAGGCCGAAAGGCGUAGUCGAUGGGAAACAGGUUAAUAUUCCUGUACUUGGUGUUACUGCGAAGGGGGGACGGAGAAGGCUAUGUUGGCCGGGCGACGGUUGUCCCGGUUUAAGCGUGUAGGCUGGUUUUCCAGGCAAAUCCGGAAAAUCAAGGCUGAGGCGUGAUGACGAGGCACUACGGUGCUGAAGCAACAAAUGCCCUGCUUCCAGGAAAAGCCUCUAAGCAUCAGGUAACAUCAAAUCGUACCCCAAACCGACACAGGUGGUCAGGUAGAGAAUACCAAGGCGCUUGAGAGAACUCGGGUGAAGGAACUAGGCAAAAUGGUGCCGUAACUUCGGGAGAAGGCACGCUGAUAUGUAGGUGAAGUCCCUCGCGGAUGGAGCUGAAAUCAGUCGAAGAUACCAGCUGGCUGCAACUGUUUAUUAAAAACACAGCACUGUGCAAACACGAAAGUGGACGUAUACGGUGUGACGCCUGCCCGGUGCCGGAAGGUUAAUUGAUGGGGUCAGCGCAAGCGAAGCUCUUGAUCGAAGCCCCGGUAAACGGCGGCCGUAACUAUAACGGUCCUAAGGUAGCGAAAUUCCUUGUCGGGUAAGUUCCGACCUGCACGAAUGGCGUAAUGAUGGCCAGGCUGUCUCCACCCGAGACUCAGUGAAAUUGAACUCGCUGUGAAGAUGCAGUGUACCCGCGGCAAGACGGAAAGACCCCGUGAACCUUUACUAUAGCUUGACACUGAACAUUGAGCCUUGAUGUGUAGGAUAGGUGGGAGGCUUUGAAGUGUGGACGCCAGUCUGCAUGGAGCCGACCUUGAAAUACCACCCUUUAAUGUUUGAUGUUCUAACGUUGACCCGUGAUCCGGGUUGCGGACAGUGUCUGGUGGGUAGUUUGACUGGGGCGGUCUCCUCCUAAAGAGUAACGGAGGAGCACGAAGGUUGGCUAAUCCUGGUCGGACAUCAGGAGGUUAGUGCAAUGGCAUAAGCCAGCUUGACUGCGAGCGUGACGGCGCGAGCAGGUGCGAAAGCAGGUCAUAGUGAUCCGGUGGUUCUGAAUGGAAGGGCCAUCGCUCAACGGAUAAAAGGUACUCCGGGGAUAACAGGCUGAUACCGCCCAAGAGUUCAUAUCGACGGCGGUGUUUGGCACCUCGAUGUCGGCUCAUCACAUCCUGGGGCUGAAGUAGGUCCCAAGGGUAUGGCUGUUCGCCAUUUAAAGUGGUACGCGAGCUGGGUUUAGAACGUCGUGAGACAGUUCGGUCCCUAUCUGCCGUGGGCGCUGGAGAACUGAGGGGGGCUGCUCCUAGUACGAGAGGACCGGAGUGGACGCAUCACUGGUGUUCGGGUUGUCAUGCCAAUGGCACUGCCCGGUAGCUAAAUGCGGAAGAGAUAAGUGCUGAAAGCAUCUAAGCACGAAACUUGCCCCGAGAUGAGUUCUCCCUGACUCCUUGAGAGUCCUGAAGGAACGUUGAAGACGACGACGUUGAUAGGCCGGGUGUGUAAGCGCAGCGAUGCGUUGAGCUAACCGGUACUAAUGAACCGUGAGGCUUAACCUU